Long non-coding RNA from Eriocheir sinensis (Chinese mitten crab), 1772 nucleotides. RefSeq lists it as uncharacterized. Lineage: Eukaryota; Metazoa; Arthropoda; Malacostraca; Decapoda; Varunidae. The transcript is spliced from 3 exons. The record is from RefSeq and is a predicted model, not a curated record.
UAGGAUACAUAUUUGAUGUAUGUACAUAAAAUGCAAACUCGUGUUUUACACACAUAGUUUCCACCUGAAUUAUUGCAACAGUUAUACACUUGAAUUUCUCUGCUAGUAAUACCCGGGAAAACCACGUGAAUUGGGACCCAGUUAUACACGAGAAUGUUAGAUCAAGUUAUACACGUGUUUAUCUCGUGAAUAUCUAGUGAAAACACGCGUACACGAGUAAUCCACAAGAUUUCCACUAGACGUUCACGUGAAAUUCACAUGUUGUGCCCACUGGGAUAUGAUUUUUAUGUGAAUAUUUCUCCCUCUCCUUAUACUGUAUCUUAUUUAUUUCCUCUGUGUUAUGUCUACUUUGAUGAUGUUUAUAAGAUAUUAAUGUUGGAAAAACUUUAUAUAUCACAGAAAAAUAUGCGGGUUCUUCGGAGCAGCAAGCCAUGCUCCUACAAUUCCUCAAACUCCUGCAAAUCAAGUGUCAACAAACAGCGUCCGUUGAAAAUGCCGCUUCCCGACCUGAAAAAUGUGCAGGUUCUUCGGAGCAGCAAGCCCCUCCUAUCGCUACGCUCCUUCAAUUCCUCAAACUCACGCAAAUCAAGUGUCAACAGGCAGCGUCCGUUCAAAAUGCAGCUGCCCGACCUGGCAUGAACUGUACUUAGCUGCGUGGAAGGGCGCACUAGAAGCUCCACCCUGCUGCCACAUGGUCUACCCGCGCAUGGUGGAGUCCUCCAGCCUCUUCUCGUAACCUCCCAAGGUGCUCCACACAGCAAGCACACCUCUCGUAACCUCCCAAGGGCUUCCCUCUCCUACAGUACACACUCACCUGACUUGUGGAUACGGCAGGUGUUAGGAAGACCACCAUGAUGUAAAACACGUGGGCGGGAGAGGAAGAAAGCAUGUUUGGUCAGCACGAGAUCACUUGGAGAAGAGGGCACGGGUCAAGGGGUGACCCGCCAUGGCCCACGGUCAAGAUGCCAGCACUCGCCACAGCUGACAUCUCUCGUUCUGUGUAACACUUAUACUAACGCCCUAACGGCUAUGGGUUAUUAUUUAUUAAUAACUUAACACCAUGCACUAAGUAAUAGUGGGUCAUGCAUCCCAUGAAUAUUUCAGCAUUGGCAGCAAUAGGUGAUAAGUAUUUGAAUAAGCUCCUGCUCCCGCCUGGCCUGGGUCUGGGUAGGUAGGUAGAAAUUUCCCGCCUUCUAAGGACUUAUUUCCCGCUCUCUAAAUAAAAUGGUGGGGACUUCCAUGGAAUUUUACACGGGCUAUUUCUUGAAAUAAGGAAUUCAUGACAGAUGCUAAAGUGCACUUGCUCAUGUCGGGAGGGUACCUGCUGGCGAUUACGAGUCCAACACUUGAUCAGUCCGUGGUAAAUUACACAUACAUUCUCUUUCAAUGUUUCUCUAUUAUUUCCUGAAUGUAUCCAAGUUGUUUCUCAGCUGCUUCCCGAAACACUUGGGAAACGUCUGGGAUACAUUGUUGUCAUUCAAAGAUUCCUGGUGUGGACUCCACGGAUUUGACGAAAAAAUCGAAAAAUAUGGCCAUUUUAGGUUUUUGUCUCUAAAAUUAGUAGCGUCACGUGGCAACAUUUUGGUGAAGUAUGAACCCAUUAUGAGCACUAGAAGUGAUUUAAACGUGGGUUUAAAUGCAUGUUAAACGUGGGUUUAAAUGCAUGUUAAAGGUCCGGGCGCAACACGCGGGUUUGUUUAUAUCGUAGUAAAGUCCUAUAAACUCUCACGUUUUCAUAAGAUAGAUAUUUAUUCUUCUUCUUUACAUUACAA